Molecule: long non-coding RNA, 529 nt
Organism: Hevea brasiliensis (rubber tree)
Lineage: Eukaryota; Viridiplantae; Streptophyta; Magnoliopsida; Malpighiales; Euphorbiaceae
Exons: 2
Source: RefSeq, a predicted model, not a curated record
UUUCACUCUGCCAUCAAAAUUUCAACUGGCUGCCUAUUAUAAUUUAUUGUUAUUUAUAUAUAUUUAAAUAUUAUAAUUUAAUAAAAAUAUAAAUAUAUUAUUAAAACUAUAUUUAAAAUUUAUUUUUUAUAUUUUAAUAAAUAAAGUUAUAUUAUAUAAUAAUAAUUAAAAAAAAAAAAAAAGUAAAGUUAUAUGAAGAGCCAGUCUGCCUGUCUUCUGAUAAGCAAGUUUACACCUGAUCUCGAUCUCAUAUGAGAUGAGAUGAAAGAGCAAUUUCCGCUUUGUAAAUUUUUUUUUUUUUUUUGUUCUUCACCCUGUGAGAUCUCUUCUAAGAUUCUCGUCGCUCACUGUUUCUCCAACCAAGUAAAUAUUUAUGCUGUAAAUCGAAACUAAAAGUGUACGCAUCUAUCUAUAUACGCGUCUUUAUGUGUGCAUGAUUGUUGUUUAAUUUUCUGAAAUCUCUUGCCGGCGGUUAUAGUUCCGACUGCUAUUGGUUUCCAAUUAAUGUAUGGGUUUCAAUUUCUUUGCA